This is a non-coding RNA of Nothobranchius furzeri (turquoise killifish), 1778 nucleotides long. The record is from RefSeq and is a predicted model, not a curated record. NCBI's taxonomy places the organism in Eukaryota, Metazoa, Chordata, Actinopteri, Cyprinodontiformes, Nothobranchiidae.
AGUACUAAAAUGUUGUACUUAAAGGAGCAUGGGGCAGGAUGAAGAACCGAAACUCUUUAGCGACGCACUCGGCGCUGUGAGUAACUGCAGCCUGGCACGAGAGCUCGCACAAACUCUUCACUAGAAAAAAAAAAGUUACAGUGAUGUACGGCCAGAGCGCGGCUCGAACAAGGCACCGUGUCGAGCGAUGAAGUAAGUAACAUUGUUACUUUAUAGUCUAAUAUUUGUAAAAUUCCAUGACAACAUUAGCAUUUUAAUUUAGCCAUGACACUCGUGAUGUAAAGCAAGUGCUGCUUCCUAAGAAAUAUUCAUAAGCCAGUUUUGUGACAGGCGAGCAAGACAGUAACAUGAUGCUACUUUAUUAGCAUAAGGCUUUGUGGCUGCAGGAGAUUUCUGAUGUUUUUAGACCAAUUACAGUUAUUAUUUUGCACUAAGCUUACUAACAAGCUAAUGUUAUUGUUUAUACAUCAUGUAAGAACAUCCAAUUUCAAGUCACUGACAUCAUUUGUGAAACCAAUUUCAUUACAGGACAGGCAUCACAACAAUGUAAAUAAGAACAUAAAUAUCAAUGCUUAGUUCAAAAAUGCAUCAAAAUAAAAUCAUAAUAUCAACAAGACCUACAGGGUAAUAGUCAUUUUUCUAUUACUGUCAUUGAUUUUCAGGAAUUCACAUUGGAAGGAGUGAUGGAAGACAGUUCAGAUGGAGUGUGCCCGAGCCUGCCACAGACUUUGAUGUGUCGUGGGAAAGUUUGAGACCAGGGGCUAAAGGAAAGGGGAGAGGAAAAGGUUGCUCCGAGGGUCGGGGAAGGACACGCUCAAGGGGUGAGGGCAGCAGGUUGAGGUCCAGAGCUCCUUCAAGAGGACCAGGGUGCCGGGGUAGGCAGCCAACAGCUUUCAGAGAAGAGGACCGAGACCAGCUAGCACAGCUGAGAGCUGCCAGUAUAGCUGAGAUGCAGACAGCUUUACAACACCUGAGCCAGGAGGAGAGAGAUUAUAUUCUCGAGAGAGUGGUGACCCGUCUUCCAGGGGUGAUGCUGGAUAUCCUGGAGUUUCGGCAAGAGACGCCAGGACAUCGUCUUCCUGACUGAGGGCACCCUAACCCAAAAAUCCAAACCGUUUAUCUACAACUACAGUAGUUCCAAAACAGCACAAUACCUCAAAAUAACUUUAGCUGAAGACAGCAUUUUCACCCAAAAAUAAACAGUUUGUGCAAUAUAUUUAUUUUUAUUUAUGUACAAAAAAGUUCUGUUAUUUGCAUUUGUACAUAGUAUUUUUUCUUAAUUUCUAAUAAAUCUGUGAGCAUUAAAGAAGUCAUUCCUGUCUUUUGAUGCUUCACGUAGCUGGGGCCUUUAUGGAGAGAGAACAGUAGCAUUAGAUCAUACAUAGAUUACAUGAGAAUGCAGUUCUGGAAACUCUCCAGUUCUGAAGUUGACCUGUAAAAAAAACAAAAGCUGCAACUUUAUAGAUUAUUAGGAAUCACACUUUUGAUUGCCUUUUCACCCACAAUUGUCAUUUCUAUAUGUAAAUUGUCAGCUUUGAUAUUGACACUUUAGCUUUUUUGCUUAUGAAAAUGUUAUUAAUAUACCUAAAGGUCAGAUUGGUGACAUCCUUCAACCAGCGUCUGUUGAACUUGAUUCGUUGAAGAGCCUCGUGUGGUGGAGAUCAUGGUACCAUGAGCUCUUUAUCACUGGUCAUUGCAUCAAGUGGUCCAUGGUCACAUUUGCCACGGGUCCAUUCAUGCUUCCCUGUGACAUGGUGAAGCACACCCACCCACAUGUC